Molecule: ribosomal RNA, 889 nt
Filed under: uncultured Planctomycetota bacterium
Lineage: Bacteria; Pseudomonadati; Planctomycetota
Description: bacterial SSU rRNA
Rfam family: Bacterial small subunit ribosomal RNA
Source: RNAcentral
AACAAACGCUGGCGGCGUGGCUAAGACAUGCAAGUCGAACGGACUAUUCAAUUGAGUAAUCGAGCGAAUAGUUAGUGGCGUAAGGGUUAGUAACGGACAGGUAACGUACCCCGUGCUUCGGGAUAGCGUCAGUUCGCCUUCGGGCGGACAUCCGAAAGGGGCGGUAAUACCGGAUAAUAUCAUUUGUCGAUAGGCGGAUGAUCAAAGAUUUAUCGGCACGGGAGCGGCCUAUCUCUUAUCAGCUUGUUGGUGAGGUAAUGGCUCACCAAGGCUAUGACGGGUAGCGGGACUGAGAGGUUGGCCCGCAACAUCGGGACUGAGACACUGCCCGGACCUCCACGGAGGGCUGCAGUAACGAAUCUUUCGCAAUGGGCGAAAGCCUGACGCAGCGACGCCGCGUGCGGGAAGAAGUCCUUCGGGAUGUAAACCGCUGUCAGGGGGAAGAAAGUUCGCUUCGGCGGAUUGAUCUAACCCACAGGAAGUCACGGCUAACUUCGUGCCAGCAGCCGCGGUAAGACGAAGGUGACGAGCGUUGUUCGGUAUCACUGGGCUUAAAGAGUGUGUAGGCGGAGAGGUAAGCGUCUUGUGAAAGCCCCCGGCUUAACCGGGGAAUUGCUCGACGAACUGCUUUUCUUGAGGCAAGUAGGGGUGCACGGAACUCUUGGUGGAGUGGUGAAAUGCGUAGAUAUCAAGAGGAACGCCGGUGGAGAAAUCGGUGCACUGGGCUUGUUCUGACGCUGAGACACGAAAGCGUGGGGAGCGAACGGGAUUAGAUACCCCGGUAGUCCACGCCGUAAACGAUGUCUACUAGGUUGUGGAAGUUCUGACGCUUGCACGGCCGAAGCAAAAGUGCUAAGUAGACCGCCUGGGGAGUACGGCCGUAAGGCUA